This 235-nucleotide ribosomal RNA is filed under the name Percolomonas cosmopolitus. Its description in RNAcentral is "partial Bacterial small subunit ribosomal RNA". It matches the Rfam family "Bacterial small subunit ribosomal RNA", at positions 556 to 790 of the family's 1533-position model. Lineage: Eukaryota; Heterolobosea; Eutetramitea; Percolomonadida; Percolomonadidae. The record is from RNAcentral.
GGGCGUAAAGCGCACGCAGGCGGUUUGUUAAGCUAGAUGUGAAAGCCCCGGGCUCAACCUGGGAUGGUCAUUUAGAACUGGCAGACUAGAGUCUUGGAGAGGGGAGUGGAAUUCCAGGUGUAGCGGUGAAAUGCGUAGAUAUCUGGAGGAACAUCAGUGGCGAAGGCGACUCCCUGGCCAAAGACUGACGCUCAUGUGCGAAAGUGUGGGUAGCGAACAGGAUUAGAUACCCUGG